Long non-coding RNA from Exaiptasia diaphana, 580 nucleotides. RefSeq lists it as uncharacterized. The transcript has 3 exons. NCBI's taxonomy places the organism in Eukaryota, Metazoa, Cnidaria, Anthozoa, Actiniaria, Aiptasiidae. The record is from RefSeq and is a predicted model, not a curated record.
UACGGAAAUUAAUGACGUGUUUUGAAAACAGCUCAAAAUUUGCGCCGUUUUUUGCUCACUGCGUUUGUCCUCUUGAAUAUGAAGGCUCUCAUAUAACGGUCUAUUAUAAAAGUAAGUUUUUGAAUGACUAAAUACACUCUUGUUGGAAGUAUUUUAGCUAGAGGAUAAGCUUAAACUUUUCUUUCCAACAUAUGUUUUUACCAAGAUUUUUAUCAUAAACACUUUUAGGCAAAUAUGUUGUGUCUCAUAUUUACGGUAAAUGACUUUGUUUCCCUGUUUCCUUGACCGAAGUUAUCCACUUUGAGUUUGUUAUUUAUGAUAUUACAUUUCCUUUCAUAGAGACCUCUUAAUAUGGGGCAUCACACAAAAAGUGGAGACUGGGAUCAAACGAUGUCUUUCAAAUGCUGUUUUUCAAAAAUAUGACAGCCCCAUGGUUCAUCUACAGAGGUACUUUUUACACUUUGUAAGAUCAAGAGAUUGAAAAUUAAAAAAGAGGUCUAAGAUUUAAUGGAAAUUGUCCAGAAUGUCAACUAUUGCAACAGCCUCAGAGAAAACUUAGGAAUUACAUCAUAUGUUAUCC